RNAcentral lists this unclassified non-coding RNA (260 nucleotides) under uncultured Dothideomycetes. RNAcentral describes it as "sequence contains 5.8S rRNA gene, ITS2, 28S rRNA gene". The stretch from base 1 to 52 matches the Rfam family "5.8S ribosomal RNA", at positions 103 to 154 of the family's 154-position model. The record is from RNAcentral. Lineage: Eukaryota; Fungi; Ascomycota; Dothideomycetes.
AACGCACAUUGCGCCCCUUGGUAUUCCGAGGGGCAUGCCUGUUCGAGCGUCAUUUCAACCCUCAAGCUUCUGCUUGGUAUUGGGCUUUCGUCCUAGUCUUUUUGGCGGGACGUGCCUAAAACUUAUAGGCGGUUGUACUCAACUCCCUUGCGUAGUUAUUUUAUCUCGCUCUGGAGGAUUUUGGGUAUGACCCGCCUGAGAACCCCCCAUAUUUCUCAAGGUUUGACCUCGGAUCAGGUAGGGAUACCCGCUGAACUUAA